RNAcentral lists this long non-coding RNA (794 nucleotides) under Ictidomys tridecemlineatus (thirteen-lined ground squirrel). Its description in RNAcentral is "lncRNA (ENSSTOG00000033867.1)". The record is from RNAcentral. Lineage: Eukaryota; Metazoa; Chordata; Mammalia; Rodentia; Sciuridae.
CCCCAGAGCCCCACCCCUCACACCCUUCUUGCCGACUCCAGCCAUCUGCUUCAAGAUGCUCCGGGACAUCAAUAGCUCAGACCCCCUGCACCUGAAGUUCAUCAUCAAGAAGGUCAAGGACAUGGCUCAGGGGUCCCCCUACCUGGUGAUGGAGACCAUCCACGACUACUUCGCAGACAACCCAGAGAUCUCCAACCGGCACAAGUUCCGGCUGUUCCAGGUCCUGAAGAAUGUCAUUGUCGCCAGUGACGUCAUGGAGGACAUCUGGAAGAGGCGCUUCAUGCAGCUGGCCCUGGAGAACAUGACCAAGUCCACGGACCUGCCUGCCCCGGGGGCUCAAAGCACCCGAGUUCUGGAUUUCCACCACGGCGCACCUCGCCCUGGGUCCACGCAAGGUGUGGGCUUGGCUCUCGGCCUCUCCGGCUCCUGGCUUAGCUCUUGGACUUCGAAUCUCUCGUCUGUCUGCUUCCAGCUCCGAGAAUAUGAUUGCUGUUGUCCUUUUUAAAUUCUCCUAAAUGUAGUUUUAAAUGAGGGUUUUUCAGGGCUGGGGAUGUGGCUCAAGCGGUAGCGCGCUCGCCUGGCAUGCGUGCAGCCCGGGUUCGAUCCUCAGCACCACAUACCAACAAAGAUGUUGUGUCCACCGAGAACUAAAAAAUAAAUAUUAAAAUUCUCUCUCUUUUUUUAAAAAAAUGAGGGUUUUUCUUUUUUUAAGCAAAAUCAGAUCCGAUCCAUCCUCUUAAGAAGCCCUCACAACCAUGUGCUUUCAAAGAACUGCAAUGACCUCUCCAUUUCCU